Molecule: ribosomal RNA, 253 nt
Filed under: uncultured bacterium
Lineage: Bacteria
Description: partial 16S ribosomal RNA
Rfam family: Bacterial small subunit ribosomal RNA
Source: RNAcentral
GACGAACCGAGCGAACGUUAUUUGGAAUCACUGGGCUUAAAGGGCGCGUAGGCGGGCCGUCAAGUCGAGGGUGAAAGCCCCCAGCUCAACUGGGGAAGUGCCUUUGAUACUGGCGGUCUCGAGGGGGAUAGGGGCGUGCGGAACUUCCGGUGGAGCGGUGAAAUGCGUAGAUAUCGGAAGGAACACCGGUGGCGAAAGCGGCGCGCUGGAUCCCUUCUGACGCUGAGGCGCGAAAGCCAGGGGAGCGAACGGG